GUUUUUAUAGUUGAAUAACGACGUUGAUUUUUCAUGUCAAAGGUCUGGUUAAUAACGCCAGUAGAAAUA
RNAcentral lists this transfer RNA (69 nucleotides) under Pseudotrapelus sinaitus (Sinai agama). Its description in RNAcentral is "tRNA-Glu". Lineage: Eukaryota; Metazoa; Chordata; Lepidosauria; Squamata; Agamidae. The record is from RNAcentral.